GUGGGGAAUAUUGGACAAUGGGGGGAACCCUGAUCCAGCCAUGCCGCGUGUGUGAAGAAGGCCUUUUGGUUGUAAAGCACUUUAAGCGAGGAGGAGGCUACCGAGAUUAAUACUCUUGGAUAGUGGACGUUACUCGCAGAAUAAGCACCGGCUAACUCUGUGCCAGCAGCCGCGGUAAUACAGAGGGUGCAAGCGUUAAUCGGAUUUACUGGGCGUAAAGCGCGCGUAGGUGGCCAAUUAAGUCAAAUGUGAAAUCCCCGAGCUUAACUUGGGAAUUGCAUUCGAUACUGGUUGGCUAGAGUAUGGGAGAGGAUGGUAGAAUUCCAGUUGUAGCGGUGAAAUGCGUAGAGAUCUGGAGGAAUACCGAUGGCGAAGGCAGCCAUCUGGCCUAAUACUGACACUGAGGUGCGAAAGCAUGGGGAGCAAACAGGAUUAGAUACCCGAGUAGUCC
RNAcentral lists this ribosomal RNA (451 nucleotides) under uncultured bacterium. RNAcentral's name for it is "partial 16S ribosomal RNA". It matches the Rfam family "Bacterial small subunit ribosomal RNA", at positions 354 to 796 of the family's 1533-position model. The record is from RNAcentral.